Molecule: long non-coding RNA, 2004 nt
Organism: Pezoporus occidentalis (night parrot)
Lineage: Eukaryota; Metazoa; Chordata; Aves; Psittaciformes; Psittacidae
Exons: 2
Source: RefSeq, a predicted model, not a curated record
GCUUUUUAACUGGUGGAAGCUUCAUGGCUCAAGGUUUAUCUUGCUUUGAACUGCCACUAAGAUUUUCACACUGAGCCUAUAACAAAGGAAAACUGGCUUUCCUGAGGAUUUUGGUGCCAUGCUAACCUUUCUUUCAGAGGCUUAUCUCACUGAGAUGAAAAUACCAAAACUGAAAGCAGAUGUGAACAGACACAAGGAUGGCCUAGCAGAUGGGAAAUGAGAUUUGGGUGCCAAAGACCAGGUUCUCACCUCUAGCACAGACCCACAUAUGAUGUUGGACAUGACUACACCCCUGCAGCCCAUGACAGUACAGCUAAUCUGAAGAUCUGCUCACAGAACCCCCAUUAUUAUCAAAAUCGUAUUUUAAUUUGUAUUUAAAGCCACGGAUAUACUAAAACAGCACCAAGGGUGGGAAUCUGGGGACAGAAAUCUCUAGGUAACUAUCCUGAAGAAAUCCCUCCAAAGCUGCUGCUUUCUUUUUUCUUCACAGUCAGAGUUUUGUUACGGUUUCUCUGCCUGGCAAUUGUGGCAGCCUCUCUAGAGGAUACAUUUCCAAUAGAGGUUUCUUGCAAAUUUGUAAUUUAUGUGCAUCAAAGGUGGAUGGUGCCAGCAGAAAACAACUGUUUGCUGCUUCUUCGCACUUUGCCCAAUUCUAACUCUCGCUCAGGCUUAUCAUUUAGUGAAUAAAGCACAGCAUUAAGUGUAUGUUCCUUAUUGUUUCCUUAUGAUUUGAGGUUUGGCGAUGAGGGGUUGUGAAAAGUGUUCUGAUGCUUUUUGGAUCUGGUGAACAUGGCCACAUCCAACUUUGACUGUUGUUCCCUUCCCACACAUUCCCAUUUGACAGAAAGACUUUUUGUCUUGAUCUCUUUCUGUUUUGCUUCCAGCACAUCCUUUCAUAAUGUAAUUAUAAAACUCCUUUGACAUCUAAAGGUAUUGCAUCAAUGAGAUUACUGUUAGCUAUAACUUGAACAGCUGCUCUGUAAACCCCUUGAGUAGGAAAGAAAACAAGUUUAUUUUAUAAACAAUUUGUUAAGCUACCCCCGUGAGUAUUCAGGCAGCUGGCCUGGAGCCCAGGUACCACUUAUGUGGUUUUGGGUUGGGCAUAAGCAGAUUUUAAAUAGUGCAUACACCAAGCCCUGGCAUGUCAAGUUCCCACAGUGCUCUAUGGAAAUACUUCAUUGUGCUGUUGACUGGGCAAAUCAAAACUUUUCUUGAAACAUACCUGCCCGCAAUCCUCACAAACCACUAAGAGGCUGACUUGUGGGUCCGUGUCUGAUUCCAGCUUCCAGCAGUGUCCUCUCAAAAGUGGGGACAGGAUAUAUAACUAAAUGGCACUAGAGAAUUAAACAAGGGGGGUUAGGAGGAUUCCCCCCAUGCUGCUUAUCAAGCUCCUAAAGUGAAGCACACCACCUCUGUGAUUAAAAAGCAGUUGGAAAUAAUAUGAAUAGUUGGAAAGAGUCAUGCAUCACUUAAGGGUAGAUGUGUUGCAGGCCUUCAGCAAUUGCUCUGUUUCUGUCCUGGAAGCUAUACUGGCUGCUUGAGGACAAGGUUAAUCACACCUGUAUUCACCCUCACAAAUAUUUCUGUGAGCUGUUUGGUGAUUAUCCUGGCCACCGGCACAGAAAAGCCUGAGAACAGUAAUCCGGAUUCUGAUUUACACCCAUUGUGCCGCUGGCACAAACAGCUUAAAUGAAGCACCGGUUUACAGAAUGUUAUUGUUUGGAUUGUUUAGUCUUUAUUGACCUGAGUAUCUCAACAUGGCCAAAAGGUUGAUUUAUACAGGCACAAGAUAGCCAAGAUCAAGGCUUCAAAGCCAACUGGAAAAUAAACUUAGUGGUAUCAAUUGAAUUGUGAAAAUUUUGUCUUAAAUAAUUCGGGUAUUAUAAUGACUUCAUCUUUUGAUAGAAACUUGUGUAUGUUUCCCCUACCUGGUCUCUUGGGUGUGCUGUGAAACUUUUUAAGAGUCAGUUUAUGUGCAUUGUUACUACUAAAACUAACAAUAAU